UCCUGCACUUCUGCUUCUUCCCUCUGUCGGCACGCGUAACGCUCUCUCUCUAUUUCAUUAGAUCUGAAAACUUUCUAUUAGAGUUACAGCAACUCCCUUUAUUCGUCCCUGAAUAAUCACUAUCGAAUGCUUAACUUUUUUAUUGAUUAAUUACAACUAGUGAAUCGCCGCGAUAUUUUCUAUAAUCCGAGAGCAUUCUACGGAUAUCUGCAAUAUCCAUGAAUUCUAGGAGGUCUUUUUGCAAUAUUUUCUUUUUGUUUUUAUUCUGCGCCAAUUAGGCCAUAACCUUUGACUCACUUUAUUGUACAAGAACUAGAAGUUCCUAUAAUUUAUGAAUUGAGGUUGGAGAAAUAUUGCUAGUAAUGUUGAUUAAUUAUAUUCGUCUGUAAUUGAUUGCUUCUAUAAGCUGUAUAAAGUAUAACUGUAAUUGAUUGCUUCUAUAAGCUGUAAAAAGUAUAAGUGUGAUUACAAAGAAAAUCAAUAAUUAUGACUAUGGUUAUAAUGCUAAAUCCCACAAUAAGUAAAUAGAAAUGAAAUAAAGAAAAGAAAAGGUUAGAACCCCAGAUUUUGGUUUGUAGGUCAUUAGACGCCUAAAAUGUCUGCUAUGCUGUUGAGAUGUGGUCAUGCCAAAUGUAGCUUUUUUGAAAAUCUAUACUUGCUUUUGGCUGUAGAUUAAAUAUCUUAUCCUAAUCUGAUCCCAUCAUACCCCCAAUCAUAGAGUAAUCUAUAGUGACUCUUUUACUUACACUCCACCAAAGUAAUUUAAAAAAGGACUACCAUGAAGAAUGAAUUUUCACUUGUUUUCGAAAUGGGGAAAAAUUGACAAGAGUAUGUUCCAUCAGAAUUUCGAAAUCUAAAAUUGAACCUUAUGAUAUGACAUAUGGUGCCUCUAACAUCGGCAUCUUGAUCUUAAGAAGGAAGAGUGCAUAAACGGGUAGUCACCCAACAUGCAAAUGCCCCGGAGCAUUGAACUUCAGUAAUUGACUGAGGGUCAGAGUGCAUAAGAUUUUUUAGUAAUUAUUUUUAAAAUUAAUAUUUGUUUUCUAUCAGAAUUUACUUUUAUUCCAUCAAAUUCAUUACUGUCUCUUAGUCUCUACCUGUCAUACCACUCACAAUGAUCCUGAAUUCGGGGACCAUAAUGCUAGGGCUGCUCUGUUUGAUGGUAUAGAGGAAAGUGGUAUAAGGGCUUCAUCUUUGUAUUCCUCUCAUGAAAUUGAUGGGCAAGAGAAUGAUAGGGCAGUUGAUGGAUUGCAAGAUCGAGUUAAUCUACUGAAAAGACUGUCAGGUGAUAUACACAAGGAGGUUGAGACUCGUAACCGAAUAUUGGACCGAAUGGUGUGAUAUUAUUGAAUAUAUCUCCCACAAACCAGAUGUGUAUAAUCAUCAUCAAUUAUGGUUAAGUACUGCUCGAUGACUUCCAACUUUUUGCCCUUAGGGCCAUGACAUGGAUAGUUCAAGAGGAGUUUUAUCCGGAACCAUGGAUAAAUUUAAGAUGGUAUUUAUGACCUUUAUUCUGUUAUGCUACUCUCUUUUACUUGAAUAUUUACUUUCCUAUAAUUUGACUUCUUACUUGCUUCGGGUGUUCGAAACCAAAUCAAACCGCAGGAUGUUUUCUCUCGUGGCAUCUUUUGUGGUUAUUUUCCUUGUCGUAAACUAUCUUAUUAGGUAAGAGAUUACAUAAAUUGGCAAAGAACUUGAGGAUGCUCAAUGUCGUUACACGGCUGUGAGAUGCCAUAGCAAUCUUGUUUUUGUAGAGAUGUUUCGGAAUGCAACAUGCACUUGAAUGUAUGCGAUGGACAGAAAGACAUUUUAAUAUAUCUUUUGGAAAACGUGUGAUUGUUCAA
Long non-coding RNA from Olea europaea var. sylvestris, 1844 nucleotides. RefSeq lists it as uncharacterized. The record is from RefSeq and is a predicted model, not a curated record. Lineage: Eukaryota; Viridiplantae; Streptophyta; Magnoliopsida; Lamiales; Oleaceae. The transcript has 3 exons.